This is a non-coding RNA of Mycena sp. CBHHK59/15, 93 nucleotides long. Lineage: Eukaryota; Fungi; Basidiomycota; Agaricomycetes; Agaricales; Mycenaceae. The record is from the annotation of a GenBank genome assembly.
GGCCCGGUGGUGGACGGUCCACGCCUGCGUUACUUGUUACGAUUGGGCGUAGUUCUGCUGCAGGAGACGCUCGUUCGAUUCGAGCCCGGGUCA